UGGGGUGUGGCUCAGUGGCAGAGCGCUUGUCUAGCAUGUGCAAGGCCCUGGCUUCGAUCCCCAGCACCAUAC
Non-coding RNA from Ictidomys tridecemlineatus (thirteen-lined ground squirrel), 72 nucleotides. The record is from Rfam. Lineage: Eukaryota; Metazoa; Chordata; Mammalia; Rodentia; Sciuridae.